Molecule: ribosomal RNA, 1301 nt
Filed under: Cladococcus viminalis
Lineage: Eukaryota; Polycystinea; Collodaria; Sphaerozoidae
Description: eukaryotic LSU rRNA
Rfam family: Eukaryotic large subunit ribosomal RNA (bases 501-1301)
Source: RNAcentral
GUCGUAACAAGGUUUCGUAGGUGAACCCGCGGAAGGAUCAAUAUCAUUCACAACUCAAAAAAACUUACCAACCGUGUUUCCACUUUUCGUGCGGGUACUCCCAGUGCUCACAAAACACUUUUUCGAUCCACAUCCCACCAAUGGUUUUUGAACAAACACAAACAAACCAAAAUCCACCUUUCAACGAUGGAUCUCUUGGUUCGCGCAACGAUGAAGAACGCCGCGAAACGCGAUAUGUAAUGUGAAUUGCAGGAUUAAGUGAAUCAUUAAAUCUUUGAACGCAAAUUGCUGCUCCGGCCCUCGCGGUUGGAGCAUGCCUGGUUCAGACUCGAUAGUCAAUCUCAAAAUGCCAUAGACUUGUGAGUGGACGUUGCUGGUUCGCAUCGUCUCAAGAAUAAAAAAUGGCUUGCAACCCAUUAGCGUUCACAUGUGAUGCGCCGAGGUAGUCAAACACCAAGGUGCGUCAUGCUUCUGGGCGUAGCUCCUAGUAAUCGUGCUUUAGAGCUGAACUCAGGUAAGAGGACCCGCUGAAUUUAAACAUAUUACUAAGCGGAGGAAAAGAAACUAACAAGGAUUCCCUCAGUAACGGCGAGUGAAGCGGGAUCAGCUCAAUGUGAAAAUCUGCGUCCUCCGGGCGUCGAAUUGUGGUCUGGGUUUGGUUUCUUAACGGGCAUCGCGUGUAAUUCCUUGUUGAGACAGGGAGCCGGAGAGGGUCACAGCCCCGUCCCGUGCGAUAGCCCCCAACAGGAACCCUUCCCGUGAGUCGUGUUGCUUGGGACUGCAGCGCCAACCGGGUGGUAAUGUCCAUCCAAAGCUAAAUAUUUGCGCGAGACCGAUAGCGAACAAGUACCGUGAGGGAAAGAUGAAAAGAACUUUGGAAAGAAAGUGAAAUAGUACGUGAAAUCGUUGGAAGCAAGCGAACCGCUCUGUCUCCGCCUCGGUGGCCUCGCGCCACCAGGGUGGGCACGAUCGGUCUGGGCCCCGUCAGCAGGCACGCCACCGUCCUCGGACGCGGCAGUCGCCCAGCGGGCCCCAGGUCGAGGAUUCACGAGGAGCCCUGUCCCUCCGGGGGCAGCUCCUCCAGGAUCGUGCCGUCGACGGAGCGGUCCGACCCGUCUUGAAACACGGACCAAGGAGUCUGACAUGGGUGCGAGUGGUAGGGUGGCAAACCCUAGCGCGCAGAGAAAUCGAGAUAGCCCGAGCCUGUUAUAGGGCGCACGGCUGGCAGAGCGUUGUUCUUCUGUUCAGUGCCUAGCAAGAGCACUUAUGUCGGGACCCGAAAGAUGGUGAACUAUGCGUGA